AUUUAAAUAGUUUAUGAAAAAUAAUGAUUUGUGGUGUCAUAGAAAUAUUUUGUAUUUUAAAUU
Molecule: transfer RNA, 63 nt
Filed under: Lepinotus reticulatus
Lineage: Eukaryota; Metazoa; Arthropoda; Insecta; Psocodea; Trogiidae
Description: tRNA-His
Source: RNAcentral